AGAGCUUCUUUCCCGCAACGGUGUGAAGUUCGGAGAAGCAGUAUGGUUCAAAGCCGGUUCUCAGAUUUUCAGCGAAGGUGGACUCGACUACUUAGGAAACCCAAGUUUGAUCCACGCCCAAAGCAUUCUAGCCAUUUGGGCCUCCCAAGUUGUUCUCAUGGGGGCCGUCGAGGGAUACCGUAUUGCCGGUGGUCCACUAGGGGAGGUGACCGAUCCCAUCUACCCAGGCGGGAGCUUUGACCCAUUGGGACUUGCAGAUGACCCGGAAGCCUUUGCAGAGCUGAAAGUGAAGGAGCUGAAGAAUGGAAGAUUAGCUAUGUUCUCCAUGUUUGGAUUCUUCGUUCAAGCUAUUGUCACUGG
RNAcentral lists this long non-coding RNA (360 nucleotides) under Cucumis sativus (cucumber). Its description in RNAcentral is "long non-coding RNA (CSAT_LNC000325)". The record is from RNAcentral. Lineage: Eukaryota; Viridiplantae; Streptophyta; Magnoliopsida; Cucurbitales; Cucurbitaceae.